Molecule: small nucleolar RNA, 141 nt
Filed under: Erinaceus europaeus (western European hedgehog)
Lineage: Eukaryota; Metazoa; Chordata; Mammalia; Eulipotyphla; Erinaceidae
Source: RNAcentral
CCCGCACAUUGUUAGAGCUUGGAGUUGAGGCCAAUGGGUGGCUGAUAAACUCACAAUUACAGGUGGUGUGCUAUUGAAAAGGCAAGGAUUCACUAAGAGGGAAUCUACUCAAUGGACUGGUCCCAAGAGUUCUGCACAUAU